RNAcentral lists this ribosomal RNA (1493 nucleotides) under uncultured bacterium. RNAcentral describes it as "bacterial SSU rRNA". It matches the Rfam family "Bacterial small subunit ribosomal RNA". The record is from RNAcentral.
GAGAGUUUGAUCCUGGCUCAGGAUGAACGCUAGCUACAGGCUUAACACAUGCAAGUCGAGGGGCAGCAUGGUCUUAGCUUGCUAAAGCCGAUGGCGACCGGCGCACGGGUGAGUAACGCGUAUCCAACCUGCCUUACACUCUUGGACAGCCUUCUGAAAGGGAGAUUAAUACAAGAUGUUAUCAUGAGUAAGCAUUUUCGCAUGAUUAAAGGUUUACCGGUGUAAGAUGGGGAUGCGUUCCAUUAGAUAGUAGGCGGGGUAACGGCCCACCUAGUCUUCGAUGGAUAGGGGUUCUGAGAGGAAGGUCCCCCACAUUGGAACUGAGACACGGUCCAAACUCCUACGGGAGGCAGCAGUGAGGAAUAUUGGUCAAUGGACGAGAGUCUGAACCAGCCAAGUAGCGUGAAGGAUGAAGGUUCUAUGGAUUGUAAACUUCUUUUAUACGGGAAUAAACGAAUCCACGCGUGGAUUUUUGCAUGUACCGUAUGAAUAAGGAUCGGCUAACUCCGUGCCAGCAGCCGCGGUAAUACGGAGGAUCCGAGCGUUAUCCGGAUUUAUUGGGUUUAAAGGGAGCGUAGAUGGGUUGUUAAGUCAGUUGUGAAAGUUUGCGGCUCAACCGUAAAAUUGCAAUUGAUACUGGCAGUCUUGAGUACAGUUGAGGUAGGCGGAAUUCGUGGUGUAGCGGUGAAAUGCUUAGAUAUCACGAAGAACUCCGAUUGCGAAGGCAGCUUACUAACCUGUAACUGACAUUGAUGCUCGAAAGUGUGGGUAUCAAACAGGAUUAGAUACCCUGGUAGUCCACACGGUAAACGAUGAAUACUCGCUGUAGGCGAUAUACAGUCUGCGGCCAAGCGAAAGCAUUAAGUAUUCCACCUGGGGAGUACGCCGGCAACGGUGAAACUCAAAGGAAUUGACGGGGGCCCGCACAAGCGGAGGAACAUGUGGUUUAAUUCGAUGAUACGCGAGGAACCUUACCCGGGCUUAAAUUGCAACCGAAUAUGGCGGAAACGCUAUAGCUAGCAAUAGCGGUUGUGAAGGUGCUGCAUGGUUGUCGUCAGCUCGUGCCGUGAGGUGUCGGCUUAAGUGCCAUAACGAGCGCAACCCUUGCCGAUAGUUACUAACAGGUCAUGCUGAGGACUCUGUCGGGACUGCCAUCGUAAGAUGUGAGGAAGGUGGGGAUGACGUCAAAUCAGCACGGCCCUUACGUCCGGGGCUACACACGUGUUACAAUGGGGGGUACAGAGGGCUGCUACCACGCAAGUGGAUGCCAAUCCCAAAAACCUCUCUCAGUUCGGAUUGAAGUCUGCAACCCGACUUCAUGAAGCUGGAUUCGCUAGUAAUCGCGCAUCAGCCACGGCGCGGUGAAUACGUUCCCGGGCCUUGUACACACCGCCCGUCAAGCCAUGGGAGCCGGGGGUACCCGAAGUGCGUAACCGCAAGGAGCGCCCUAGGGUAAAACUGGUGACUGGGGCUAAGUCGUAACAAGGUAGCCG